CUCCGUAGGGAUCUGCUUCUCUGCUGGUGGAAAGAGAAGCUUCCCUAGGCAUCUCUCUCACACUCGACGCUACCGGGGCGGUUCUGGGACGGCUCCUCAGGCCGCUGCCCGCCCUCUUUUCUCCGAACGUCAGUCAUUUCCUCGAAAUCAAUCCAGGCACGCAGCUGCCCAUUAAAGUUAAUUAAGCACGCGCCCGAGACACCGACAAGAGCGUGCGCCCCGGGCAGAGCCCAGAAUGCCUCCCGGGAAGCCCCUUCCGGAAGCUCCGGCCCAGGGGGGUCACAGUCCGAUUCCGAGGGACCCAGCUGCCCACCGCUGACCUCUCCCGCCCGCCCCCACCCCGAAAUCUCCGCAAUCCUGGGAGACAGCUGCAGCCCCAGCGAGCGAGCCGAGCCCCGCGCAGCCCAGAGCAGGUGCACCUGCAGAGCCUGGCAUUGGCUUUGCGUCGAUUAAACACCUCCUCUUCGCACAAACCCCGGCACCCCUCGUCCACUGUCUGGACCCAAGGACCCCCCUCUCGGGUCGAGGAGGGGCGGACGGCAGCUCGGAACCCACAAGCCUGAGAGUGUCCGCUCGCCCGCAGAAGGCAGCCGCCACCUGCUCUCCAAGGUCCCGCUCCAGCCCCUCCGUCGCGGGUCCCUUACCUUGUGGCCUUUCCCCGGGGGACACCUGACGUUAUUGGAGGCUCCUGCUGUCUGAUUCAUGUCCGGAGGAAGUUGGAGACCGAUUCUCUACCUUCGAAACUUCCUUGGCGCGUGGAGGGUGACAAAGGUGCGCGUCUCCCGGAGGCGAGGUGGGUCCUCCCGCUCCAGCCAAGCCCCGGCGACGUCUCCCCGCGACAGGUUUCCGCGGGGCCCCUGGUCCAGGGAUGCUUAGCCCUGCAGCCCGAGCCGGAGAAAGAGAAGCAGCUGCUGGGACCCCGGAGGGAGCCGGGCCGGCGCCGGCGGCUCCGAGGGCGCUCUGCCCAGGGCUGCCUUCCCGGGAAACAGUCCAGGACUCUCAAGACCAGAAGCGCGAGCAAAUCCGAAAAGAGCUCCGAGGAGGGGCGAGGAGGCAGAAGGCCCAAAUACAGUAAAUCAAGAAAAUGCUGAGAGUAUCUUGUGUCUGGUAAGUAAUGAAGUUCAUCUUUUUUGCUCUUGAGAAUUUAUUGAUGCUCGUGAGUUGAGUAGGCAAUCUCUCAAUGUAACGCUACGGCUGUUGGAAAGAAAAUGAUAUCUUAACCAUGUUGGCUGUCGAUAGAACUGCUGACCUGUUAAAUAUAAAAAGUACAAAGGGAUAAAAAAAAAUCGUCUUAUUCUAAAACACUGAACACACAGAAUGUUCUCGCAAACUUCCAAGAGAAGAAACCACCUGCAAAAUAUGGACCAAUUUACUGUCCAUGCGUUUCUCCGUAAAAAUCGUUUGCUAUUCACCAAAGGUUCAGUUUGAUCCUUGGUUGAAAUGAGCAAGGGACUAUUGAUCAACCUUGUAGGUAUGUUUUAGGCUCUUGUAGAAUCUUAUGUGAUUAAACCAUUCAUCGUAUUUAAUCUUCAGCAGGAAACUCUGUGUUUCAUUCACUCAAGGCUCUAGCAGAGCAAAAACACGAUUCAUGAAUGAUUGUCUGUACACGCCAGCACCUCAGGGAUUAACUGUUGGUUCGCUCAGGCUGUCCACUUGCACGGAAUGAGUAGAUCACUGUAGGGAGUCGGGUUGGUGCUGAUGACAGUGGGUGAGGAACGUGGCAACAUGUCCUUUAUCGCUGCGGAAGGGCAAACGGGCAAAGGCGCCGUAUCAUACUCUGCACAAAAACAACCUCUCUGGAUCAGCUCUGUGUAAAACAGAAGGACCCAAAUGUGUCCAGGUUGAGGAAUAAGACCUUAUCUAGUAAAAGCCAAAGCAAUCAUAGGUUCAUCUGUAAAAUACAGAGGUAAGAGAGGGACUGUUGAAAACGGCCGAAACAAACACCUGAGCAUUUCUCACGUCUAAAGCGGAAUCUCUGGCCCAGCAACACAGCCUCUGCCCUGCAAUAUGGGCCUCCAGCUCUGCAUCAUUAUUUUUUGUUUGUAUUAUGUUGGUUGAUUGCACAUGUUUGUUGGUUGAUUGCACCUGUUCAUAAGCGCAGUCUCAAAUCCAUUGUGUGGCCGAGAUAGGCACAUGUUUCUCUGUGCUAUAAUUUGUGUUUGGGGCCCUACAGACUAGCUGGAUUUAGGGAUUUGGUGCCAGCAAACAUGCCCGGUCCUCAUCAGUGAGCAAUGAGGACAUUGGGAUACCCCCAUUUUCUCUUUGAGUGGCACCAUUUCUCAGAAUAACUGAGCAGUCCCCAGGGAUACAAGAUAAAGGGGCACAGCUCAUGACAGAGUGAGGCAUUGUGUGAGGUGGAUUUUACCAGCCCAGUUGUCAUUCAUCAAGAAGAUAUAGCAUCACCUGAUGGUCUGGUAAGAAGCAUCUGGCUCUGGAGGUGAGCAGAGUGGAUGUGCCCGGGUGAGAGACAGGCCCCUGGGGGUCUCUCUCCAGGCCCAGGCUUCUGCCCAUCCUCCCUGUGAUGCCACCAUGAUUAAGGACACUCCUAGAGCCAAACUCAGCUGUGCAACCUAAGAGCUUAGUAACCUUGAACUUACUGCUUUCUCUCGAGCUGAUGUAGCAACACACUAGCUGUGGUACCAACACACACUAAAAGAGAACCUAGAUGGUAUAUGAUACAUGGUCACUGUUACUCAUAUAAAUCUUUAACAUUCUGGAAACAUCCCUGGACCUUCUGCACAUUCUUUAGGACAUUCAAAUAAAUACUGACCUGCUGUUGGGUUACGGAUGGUG
Molecule: long non-coding RNA, 2793 nt
Filed under: Sus scrofa (pig)
Lineage: Eukaryota; Metazoa; Chordata; Mammalia; Artiodactyla; Suidae
Description: lncRNA (ENSSSCG00040076154.1)
Source: RNAcentral